GACAGAGGGUGCAAGCGUUGUCCGGAAUUAUUGGGCGUAAAGAGCUCGUAGGCGGCUUGUCACGUCGGGUGUGAAAGCCCGGGGCUUAACCCCGGGUCUGCAUUCGAUACGGGCAGGCUAGAGUGUGGUAGGGGAGAUCGGAAUUCCUGGUGUAGCGGUGAAAUGCGCAGAUAUCAGGAGGAACACCGGUGGCGAAGGCGGAUCUCUGGGCCAUUACUGACGCUGAGGAGCGAAAGCUAGGGGAGCGAACGGG
This 253-nucleotide ribosomal RNA is filed under the name uncultured bacterium. RNAcentral describes it as "partial 16S ribosomal RNA". It matches the Rfam family "Bacterial small subunit ribosomal RNA", at positions 524 to 776 of the family's 1533-position model. The record is from RNAcentral.